This 554-nucleotide ribosomal RNA is filed under the name uncultured archaeon. Its description in RNAcentral is "bacterial SSU rRNA". It matches the Rfam family "Archaeal small subunit ribosomal RNA", at positions 325 to 879 of the family's 1478-position model. The record is from RNAcentral.
ACGGGGUGCAGCAGGCGCGAAAACUUUACAAUGCUGGUAACAGCGAUAAGGGGACCUCGAGUGCCAGGAUACAAUCCUGGCUGUCGUAAUGCCUAAAAAGCAUUGCAUAGCAAGGGCCGGGCAAGACCGGUGCCAGCCGCCGCGGUAACACCGGCGGCUCGAGUGGUAACCGUUAUUAUUGGGUCUAAAGGGUCUGUAGCCGGCUGGAUAAGUCUCUUGAGAAACCCGGCAGCUUAACUGUCGGGCUUUCAGGGGAUACUGUUCGGCUCGAGACCGGGAGAGGUGAGAGGUACUUCAGGGGUAGGGGUGAAAUCUUGUAAUCCUUGAAGGACCACCAGUGGCGAAGGCGUCUCACCAGAACGGAUCUGACGGCAAGGGACGAAAGCUAGGGGCACGAACCGGAUUAGAUACCCGGGUAGUCCUAGCCGUAAACGAUACUCGCUAGGUGUCGGCCACGGUGCGACCGUGGUCGGUGCCGUAGGGAAGCCGUGAAGCGAGCCACCUGGGAAGUACGGCCGCAAGGCUGAAACUUAAAGGAAUUGGCGGGGGAGCAC